GGUCUGUUUGCUAUCCACAGUACACUGCGGAUGUUGUGAAAUUUGAUAAUAACCCGAACUGCAAUAUCUACGCUACAUCGUACGACGCGACUACAUGCGAUCAAAUUGUUGCCAACUACAUGAAGUGCACACUCAAAGCAGCCAAACUUCUGAAGGUCAACAACACCUUUGACGAAGCAGCCUUCAAAGCCACCACGUUGAAGAACAAAUGCAGCACUGACGCCAAGUUUAUAGCUGCGUACCCGCCGUGCAAGAACUCCACCAUGAAAUAUUUGCACGUCAGCCGAUUCAUCUUCUGUCUCAUGCAGAAUACAUACGGCGAGUGAUGUCAGGAAAGAACAUUGAAAUGAGCCAGAAGAAGACGAGCUGAGCAUCAGAAUACGUUUCUUCUUCUAUAACUUACUCAUUUCCGCUUAGAUGGAUUGCUGACGAGUAUAUUGUAAUGUUGCAAUUUUGAGUUCGGAAUUUCUUGGAAAAUGUUCGUGGCUGUGUUUCAAUCUUUGAUUGACGGAUUUUUUACAAUCGAGUUUCACUAUCUCUUCCCCAUAAAAUAAAGAUCCAGGAAAAGGAUUGUAGGAUGCAUUUGCUAUGACCACAUAAAUGUAC
Molecule: long non-coding RNA, 606 nt
Organism: Hyalella azteca
Lineage: Eukaryota; Metazoa; Arthropoda; Malacostraca; Amphipoda; Hyalellidae
Exons: 4
Source: RefSeq, a predicted model, not a curated record